AAAUUUGAUAGUUCGUCGGCUUCACCUCAAUGAAUGGGAUUAGCGGGGCGUGUCGACUCCACCAAUUCCACCUCCAUGACUGCCGCAGUGUUGUGGUGUGGCCGCGGACGAGAGAUUAUCACGUAACUGUUAUCAUUCCACUGUGGGCGUGACGUGUCAUCUCAGGACAUAGGAACUGGAAGACGAGGAAGCUGCUGUGCUGGUUGCUGCCUUGAUUGCCUUACAUAUUCAGUGCAAGUGUGGUGAUGGCUGAGAAGAUAUCCCCAAAAGUGGUGGUGGUGGGAUCGUGCAUGACAGACUUGAUCAGCAAUUCGCCACGCCUGCCACAGCCCGGAGAGACGCUGCUUGGCCACAAGUUCACGGUGGGGUUUGGAGGGAAGGGUGCCAACCAGUGUGUGGCGGCAACCAGACUUGGAGCCACCACAUCAAUGGUUGCUAUGGUUGGAGAUGACUCCUUUGGUCAUAACUACCUACAGAAUUUCAAGGAGAAUGGUGUGGACACAACCUUGGUAGGGGUGACCAAGGAGGCAGCAACAGGCGCUGCCUCCAUUGUCGUGGAUGCUGCAGGGGAGAACUGCAUCGUCAUUGUUGCCGGUGCAAAUUUGAAGAUGACUCCGUCUGAUGUGGAACAAGCUGAAGGUGUUAUCCAGGGUGCCUCUGUGCUGGUGUGUCAAGGGGAGAUCACUCCAGCAGCAACCCUCGCCGCCCUCAGGCUGGCACAAAAGCACAAGGUGAUGACGGUGAUGAAUGCUGCACCAGCAGAUGUCUCAUUAGAUCCAGCUAUUAUAGAACACUCAGACAUUUUUUGUGUCAAUGAAAGUGAGGCUGAGGCCCUGACAAACCUGAAGGUGAAAACAGUGAAGGAUGCUGAGCAGGCUGCUGAGGCCCUGCUGCAGCGAGGGAGCAGCAGCGUGAUCAUCACCCUUGGCGGGGAAGGGGCCGUGUACUCCACUGCCAAGGGACACACACACAUCACAUCUGAGAAGGUCACCCCGGUGGACACCACAGGGGCAGGAGAUGCCUUUGUGGGGGCACUGGCCUACUACCUGGCCUACCACCCUCAGCUGACCAUGGCUGAGAUGCUGCAGCGCUCAUGCCAAGUAGCCACACGUUCGGUGCUCAGCCCAGGAACACAGAGCAGCUACCCCACCAGAGACCAGCUACCUGCCCACCUGUUCUCCUGAAGCAGUGGUAACUGUGUUAGGUAGGCUGUUGACUAGAAGUGUAGGUGUAGUGUGGCAGUAUCUCCUACUCUCCUACAGACACUAAUGCCUAGUAACACACAGCAGUGGUGACUGAAUUGAGUAGGCCAUAGACUAGAAGGACAGUGUACUGAGUGUAGUGUGUAGUGUCUCUUCCUCGUUUACAGACAUUGAUGUCUAGUAAAGGAGCUGUUAUACUGGGCAAAUUUUCUGUGGAUCUUCAGUCAAACCACAAUUUCUGCUGGCGUGGCUCUCAUUUUCCUGGUUUUCUGACAUCUCCAUGAUCUUCCAAAGAUGCGGUAAAUUUCACUGAAGGUCAACGGUAUUACUCACCAUCAGCAGCAGCAACAAUAACAAGAAACAAGAAGAGGAAGAAGCUACACCCUACUGUCUCAACAUUUGCAAAACUAUGAAUGUUGUUGCCUGGACCAAGGCCUCUGAGGCCACUUUAAUUUAUAAAUUAUGGGACAUGCCAGCUUUGUGGGAUCCCAGGCAUGAAUUGUAUGCAAAAAAAAUGCUUAGAAGGAAGAGUAGAGACACUGGUUUCCUAAGUCGUGUGUCUUUCUUGGCUAUAGAUGGUUGCACAAAGCUUAAUAUUUUGUAAAAUUGGUCCUUGCUGACUCAUCCACUGCCUGUAGCCUUCCUCGUAUUUUAGACGCAGUUCUUGCAACAGCUGCAUCAUUUCACUGCGCUCCUCUCUUCUUGUAAGCCAUUGCCACCUCCACAUUCUUUUCUUUUUCCGUUGCUUGUGUAAAUUGAGUGUCACUAUAGCCAAAGCAAUGGCACUGAAUGAAAACUGGGGUGCGAACAGGGACGUCAGCCAUACUUGUUGUUGUGAAAAUGUAUCAGUCAAGACCACGGUACGCUGAGAGCGUGCAAGGCAAGUGUGAUAGGAAGACAAUGGUAGUAUGUCCACGUAGGCAAAAAUCCACGAUUUUAUGACUGAAGAUCCACAGAAAAUUUGUCCAGUGUAAUAGCCCCUGAACCCCUUCACUCCGGCGACGCCAACGUCGGCGUGGAAAAGGUUAGUCCUCUUCUAAACCUCUUAAUCCUCUUCCAUUUCCUCUUAAUAUUCUUCUAAACCUCUUAAGAGGAAAUGAAAGAGGAUUAAGAGGAAUUUAGAGGAGGAUUGAGAGGUUUAGAAGAGGAUUCAUCCUCUUCCAUUUCCUCUUGACCCUUUCCAUACUGUCAUGCCGACGUCUGCGUCACGGAUGGAAAGGUCUAACACACAGCAGUGAUGACUGUGCUAGGUAGGCUGUAGACUAGAAGUGUAGAAGUGUAGUGUGGUAGUAGGAGAUACAGUAGUGUCUCCUACUCUUCUACAGACAUUGAUACCUAUUAACACACAGCAGUGGUGAUUGUGUUAGGUAGGCUGUAGACUAGAAGUGUAGAAGUGUAGUGUGGUAGUAGGAGAUACAGUAGUAUCUCCUACUCUUCUACAGACAUUGAUGCCUAUUAACACACAGCAGAGGUGACUGUGUUGUGUAGGCUGUAGACUAGAAGUGUAGUGUAUCUCUUACUCCUCUACAGACAUAAUGUCUAGUAACUCAUUUAUAUACCUUUUGUGAAAAUAUUUACAAAAAAGAUCACCUUUUUAUGGUGGUGCUAUUAAAUGUUUGUUGUUUUUGUAUGUUGGUCAAGUGUUGGAUAAGAAUACGUAGGUAUUGGCUGUUCAGAUAAGCUUGUGUGAGAGGUGAUGACUUUCUCAUCAAGUUAUCUGGCUCAGCAGAAGAAAAUUUGAUUAGAAAGCCAGUGGCUAUAUUUAAUAUAGCUGGGUAGGUUAACCUGUUUGCUUCAGUACAACCACCAGUGUCCAGGCAUGGAUAGUGUUGGUUCGGUAUGGCCACUGGUGUCCGUGACCCAUGACACCUAAUUGCAGUAUAUUGUAGGGCAUGUUGACAUGUGGCAAUCCACCUUGCAUGGUCUAAAUACCAUACAGGUCUAAAAACUGCUCAGUUAAGUUGAUCCUCUGCCUCUCCCUCCCUCAGUGUGGGUGAUUGUAAAGAUGGCUAACAAUGGACGAAUUUGGUAAGGGGAAUGCCUGGAUAGCCCUUUAAUUCUUCUUGGACUGGAUGCCAGCCAUCAUAAGUAGAUUUAUUUAUAACGAAAACUACCCACUAACAAAGAUAUUUAAGUGAAAAAAUACACCAGCAGUCACAGAGUAAUAUGCAGAGCAUGCUAACGUACAUUUCAUGAUGCUUGUCUCAUAUUUGGUCCAUGAUAAGCUGUUUCACUACCACUCAAAGCUUCACUCUAGCCGAAGUGGUCGAUUAUGGUGUUGUGCAUGGUGUGGUUGACCUGAUAAUGGCUGGCACUGAGUGUGAGGUUUGCACUGCCAAAGAACAGUGAAUUUUGGGUCUUAAUAAGUCAGUCAUUAAGGAAUACAGAGUAAGUUUGGUGUGCUGAUGUGCCUUCCACUCUGUUAAAACCACUACUGAUGAAAAGUUCAUGUACCUGUGUAUUUUAUGAUAUUUUUGCAUUAGUAAGUUUGUGUUUUUGCAGUACUAUGGUAUUCAGAAUGUUAAUAUGUACCUGGAAUACAAAACUAAUUUUUUAUUCUCACAAUAUUAUGUUCACUGACCUCUG
Molecule: RNA transcript, 3788 nt
Organism: Eriocheir sinensis (Chinese mitten crab)
Lineage: Eukaryota; Metazoa; Arthropoda; Malacostraca; Decapoda; Varunidae
Gene name: ribokinase-like
Exons: 9
Source: RefSeq, a predicted model, not a curated record